Molecule: transfer RNA, 71 nt
Filed under: Ovis aries (sheep)
Lineage: Eukaryota; Metazoa; Chordata; Mammalia; Artiodactyla; Bovidae
Rfam family: tRNA
About the family: Transfer RNA (tRNA) molecules are approximately 80 nucleotides in length. Their secondary structure includes four short double-helical elements and three loops (D, anti-codon, and T loops).
Source: Rfam by way of RNAcentral
UCCCUGAUGGUCCAGUGGUUAGGACUCAACACUUUCAAGCUGUGAGCCUGGGUUUCAUCCUGGUUGGGGAA